GACGAACGCUGGCGGCGUGCUUAACACAUGCAAGUCGAGCGGUAAGGCCCUUUCGGGGGUACACGAGCGGCGAACGGGUGAGUAACACGUGGGUGACCUGCCCUCAGCUCUGGGAUAAGCCUGGGAAACCGGGUCUAAUACUGGAUAUGACUCCAUGACGCAUGUUGUGGGGUGGAAAGCCUUGUGCGGCUGAGGAUGGGCCCGCGGCCUAUCAGCUUGUUGGUGGGGUGAUGGCCUACCAAGGCGACGACGGGUAGCCGGCCUGAGAGGGCGACCGGCCACACUGGGACUGAGACACGGCCCAGACUCCUACGGGAGGCAGCAGUGGGGAAUUUUGGACAAUGGGGGCAACCCUGAUCCAGCCAUGCCGCGUGAGUGAAGAAGGCC
This 387-nucleotide ribosomal RNA is filed under the name uncultured bacterium. RNAcentral's name for it is "bacterial SSU rRNA". It matches the Rfam family "Bacterial small subunit ribosomal RNA", at positions 28 to 416 of the family's 1533-position model. The record is from RNAcentral.